Molecule: long non-coding RNA, 804 nt
Organism: Stomoxys calcitrans (stable fly)
Lineage: Eukaryota; Metazoa; Arthropoda; Insecta; Diptera; Muscidae
Exons: 2
Source: RefSeq, a predicted model, not a curated record
UCCAAAGUUCGGCCCGGCCGAACUUAACACCUUUUUACUUCUUUUUAAUAGAUGUAAACAUUUUAUAACUCAUAUAUGUUAUGAAAGCUUUUUAUAAAUGUUAUGACAACUUUUCAUAAACUAUGUGUUUGAUUUCCAUAAAUAUUUUUCAUAAAUGUUAUGACAAAAUCAUCAAUAAAAUGAACAUUUUUCUUUCUGUCUACUAUACUAGUUACGGACAAUGUCAAGUGCCAUAUAAUGAUUCAAAAUUGAUAUGUGAGAAGUUUUCCCCUGUUCCUUAGUGGAAUGUUGCAUUUGCAGAUAUAAGGGCGCAAAUAAGAGUGAUAUCUUAACCUUAGUUAUACCUAUUAGCUAGCUGAGUAUGUGAUUCAGCAACAUAGAAGGAGUCAUAUUGAGAAAUUUUGCAUCAUGAGUAUUUUGAACUGGUUUUUUUUUUGUCGAAUAAACGAUGUAAUAAAAUUCAAAUCGAUUGUUCGGUUAAUACAUGACUUAUGUACAUCUUAAUUUUUUCGGUAUCUGUGUAAAAUUGUAACCGCAUGGCAUUUUGCAAACGGGGUGACGAGAUUAGUAUACCUCUCAUACUGUGAUGGUGGUUGGUAUUUACAAAUAAAAUCGCCUGUCGAUUGACGAUAACAUUGUGUGUAUUCUUGGGCGACGUAUUUUUUUCUUGCCAAUUCAAUAAGAGAAUAACUACCGGCAUAUGUAUUAGCAAAGAGAGGGAGAGUGGAAAAAAAUAGACAACAAAUAUUUAAACAUUCGCACUAUGACGUUUUUCUGAUAAAACUACACACAAAGAUCAAUCAG